GAGGAAAGCUGGAGGCGUGCCUAAUACAUGCAAGUCGAGCGAACAGAUGAGGAGCUUGCUCCUCUGACGUUAGCGGCGGACGGGUGAGUAACACGUGGAUAACCUACCUAUAAGACUGGGAUAACUUCGGGAAACCGGAGCUAAUACCGGAUAAUAUAUUGAACCGCAUGGUUCAAUAGUGAAAGACGGUUUUGCUGUCACUUAUAGAUGGAUCCGCGCCGCAUUAGCUAGUUGGUAAGGUAACGGCUUACCAAGGCAACGAUGCGUAGCCGACCUGAGAGGGUGAUCGGCCACACUGGAACUGAGACACGGUCCAGACGCCUACGGGAGGCAGCAGUAGGGAAUCUUCCGCAAUGGGCGAAAGCCAGACGGAGCAACGCCGCGUGAGGGAUGAAGGUCUUCGGAUCGUAAAACUCGGUUAUUGGGGAAGAACAAAUGUGUAAGUAACUAUGCACGUCUUGACGGUACCUAAUCAGAAAGCCACGGCUAACUACGUG
Molecule: ribosomal RNA, 497 nt
Filed under: uncultured bacterium
Lineage: Bacteria
Description: partial 16S ribosomal RNA
Rfam family: Bacterial small subunit ribosomal RNA
Source: RNAcentral